Rhea pennata is the source of this 523-nucleotide long non-coding RNA. RefSeq lists it as uncharacterized. The transcript is spliced from 3 exons. The record is from RefSeq and is a predicted model, not a curated record. NCBI's taxonomy places the organism in Eukaryota, Metazoa, Chordata, Aves, Rheiformes, Rheidae.
GCAGCUGACCUGAAUAAAACCUGCGUGUUGAAACACCUGAAUUUCUUUUCAUUGAGGGCAUGUGCACUGAAACAUUCUGGAUUUCAUUGGGCAUGGUGCCUGGUGGUGAUGACUGUGCAAUCUGCUACUGAAGCAAGUUACAGAGGAGAUGGCUGACCUGCGGCUGUGGCUGCUUUCCACAUAUAAAUGUUGUUGUGUGUAUCUAUUUGACCAUGGUAGGAUAUUUAAUGUAUCGAGGAAACAAGCUUUGUAGCUGCAGACUUGGUGCUGCUUUCACCACAGAUCCUUUCUUCCAAACAUAUUUUCCCUCACUUCAGCCUUGGUAUCUUUAAAAAAACCAUUUUUUAAAAAUGUAAAAAUAUACCCUACUGUCAUUCUUUUGGAAAAAGAGAACUUUAUUGUAACCAUUAUUGUUUAAGUGAAGUUUGGUGUACAGGAUGUUAAAUAACUGCUCAGCCAAAUGUCAGUGUGAACCCCUAAAUCCUUAGCAGUAAACAAAAUAAAUAUUUUUAUUUUCUCUGAA